Molecule: ribosomal RNA, 270 nt
Filed under: uncultured archaeon
Lineage: Archaea
Description: partial 16S ribosomal RNA
Rfam family: Archaeal small subunit ribosomal RNA
Source: RNAcentral
CAGCACCUCAAGUGGUCAGGAUGAUUAUUGGGCCUAAAGCAUCCGUAGCCGGCGCUGUAAGUUUUCGGUUAAAUCUGUACGCUCAACGUACAGGCUGCCGGGAAUACUGCAGCGCUAGGGAGUGGGAGAGGUAGACGGUACUCGGUAGGAAGGGGUAAAAUCCUUUGAUCUAUUGAUGACCACCUGUGGCGAAGGCGGUCUACCAGAACACGUCCGACGGUGAGGGAUGAAUGCUGGGGGAGCAAACCGGAUUAGAUACCCGAGUAGUCC